This 497-nucleotide ribosomal RNA is filed under the name uncultured bacterium. RNAcentral's name for it is "partial 16S ribosomal RNA". It matches the Rfam family "Bacterial small subunit ribosomal RNA", at positions 28 to 507 of the family's 1533-position model. The record is from RNAcentral.
GACGAACGCUGGCGGCGUGCUUAACACAUGCAAGUCGAGCGAACGGACGAGAAGCUUGCUUUUCUGAUGUUAGCGGCGGACGGGUGAGUAACACGUGGAUAACCUACCUAUAAGACUGGGAUAACUUCGGGAAACCGGAGCUAAUACCGGAUAAUAUUUUGAACCGCAUGGUUCAAAAGUGAAAGACGGUCUUGCUGUCACUUAUAGAUGGAUCCGCGCUGCAUUAGCUAGUUGGUAAGGUAACGGCUUACCAAGGCAACGAUACAUAGCCGACCUGAGAGGGUGAUCGGCCACACUGGAACUGAGACACGGUCCAGACUCCUACGGGAGGCAGCAGUAGGGAAUCUUCCGCAAUGGGCGAAAGCCUGACGGAGCAACGCCGCGUGAGUGAUGAAGGUCUUCGGAUCGUAAAACUCUGUUAUUAGGGAAGAACAUAUGUGUAAGUAACUGUGCACAUCUUGACGGUACCUAAUCAGAAAGCCACGGCUAACUACGUG